UGAAGUUAAUAAAAAGUAGUUGGUUACAUAAAUAUCAGGGGCAAGCCAGGACUCAUCAAAUUGAAUCGAGAUUCAUGGUCAAAAUAGAUAUGAACAGUGAUUUGAUUGUAUUGGGUUCAGUUUUAUUCAAAAUCAAAAUAUGACUUCAACGCAUCUAAAUACUGAUAACCACACAGUCCCAACACAAGUACAAGAUUUUGCUCUAUUGCAGGUUUUUCCGCAAUAACGGCACCGCAAAGUGACCGGUAUGGCAGGAUUUUGCCUCUCCGUCAUGGACCGCCAUCAACAACACUGUCUGCCACACGGACAAUCCCACUCUCCCCUUUCCUAUUCUUCAAGCUUCAACCCACUGCAUAUUAGGUUUAGGGUUGUUGUGUAACGGUCCAUUUGGCCCAGAAUUCUCAUUUGGGGUUCUAACAUAUGCACCUUACAAAAUUUAGUUACUAUUUACACGUGCAAAAAUAGAUAAUAAACUAGACAUCACAUAAUCUAGCUCAAAAGGAUGAAAAAGAAGCUGGUCAAAUACUACUAAACAUUUUGAACUUUUGUAUUUACUUUAAAAAGGCAAUUCUGAAAUGCCUCUUUACAGUAGGUAAACUGUUAUAGCUAGCCAGAUAAAUCUUUGCAAGUAAACAAACCUUUAAAGUAUAGUACAGGAGGUCAGACAUCCUAAAUCCCUCAUAAGCCAUAAAAUCGUCAGAAUUCAGGCCAUGGAAAAACUUUAGACUGGUAUAACAUUGGCGAUUCAUAUGCAUAUAUUCCUCAAACAAACAAGAAUAUUCCGUAAUUCAACACAAAUAAAAAGUUGAGGUACCUUCUCAGCUUGAACCACAACCAUGAGACGACCAAGUAUCUCUUGAUCAGAUAGUCGCGAAAAUCUCACAAUUGCACACCUACUCUGAAUCGGCUCAAUAAUCUUAGACGAUGUAUUGCAAGCAAGCGCGAAACGAGUAGAAUUAGAAUAUAUCUCCAUCGUCCUUCUUAAAGCUUGUUGUGCUCCAGAUGUCAUACUGAUUCG
Molecule: long non-coding RNA, 1018 nt
Filed under: Lathyrus oleraceus (garden pea)
Lineage: Eukaryota; Viridiplantae; Streptophyta; Magnoliopsida; Fabales; Fabaceae
Description: Pisum sativum (pea) long non-coding RNA (PSAT_LNC009827)
Source: RNAcentral